CAAUUCACCUUGUCCACA
Molecule: non-coding RNA, 18 nt
Filed under: Arabidopsis thaliana (thale cress)
Lineage: Eukaryota; Viridiplantae; Streptophyta; Magnoliopsida; Brassicales; Brassicaceae
Source: RNAcentral